This 497-nucleotide ribosomal RNA is filed under the name uncultured bacterium. Its description in RNAcentral is "partial 16S ribosomal RNA". It matches the Rfam family "Bacterial small subunit ribosomal RNA", at positions 28 to 507 of the family's 1533-position model. The record is from RNAcentral.
GAUGAACGCUGGCGGCGUGCCUAAUACAUGCAAGUCGAGCGAAAAGACGAGGAGCUUGCUCCUCUGACGUUAGCGGCAGACGGGUGAGUAACACGUGGAUAACCUACCUAUAAGACUGGGAUAACUUCGGGAAACCGGAGCAAAUCCCGGAUAAUAUAUUGAACCGCAUGGUUCAAUAGUGAAAGACGGCUUUGCUGUAACUUCUAGAUGAAUCCGCGCCGCAUUAGCUAGUUGGUAAGGUAACGGCUUACCAAGGCAAGCAUGCGUGGCCGACUGGACAGGCGGAUCGGCCACUCUGGAACUGAGACACGGGCCAGACUCCUACGGGAUGCAGCAGUAGGGAAUCUGCCGCAAUGGGCGAAAGCCUGACGGAGCAACAGCGCGUGAGUGAUGAAAGUCUUCGGAUCGUAAAACCCUGUUAUUAGGGAAGAACAACUGUGUAAGUAACUAUACCCGUCUUGACGGUACUUAAUCAGAAAGCCACGGCUAACUACGUG